Pelobates cultripes (western spadefoot toad) is the source of this 730-nucleotide non-coding RNA. The record is from the annotation of a GenBank genome assembly. NCBI's taxonomy places the organism in Eukaryota, Metazoa, Chordata, Amphibia, Anura, Pelobatidae.
CGAAUGAGCUGACAACAAAAUCACACAAAAAUUAAAAAAUGGAAAUCAAAUUUUUCAACCCAUGGAGGUCUGGAUUUGGAGUCACACUCAAAACUGUGGAAAAACAUACUACAUGCUGAUCCAACUUUGAUGCAAUGUCCUUAAAACAAGUCAAAAUGAGGCUCAGUAGUGUUUGUGUGGCCUCCACGUGCAUGUAUGACCUCCCUACAACGCCGGUGCAUGCUCCUGAUAAGGUGGCGGAUGGUCUCCUGAGGAUCUCCUCCCAGACCUGGACUAAAGCAUCUGCCAACUCCUGGACAGAGUGUGGUGCAACAUGACGGUGCAUGGAGCAAGACAUGAUGUCCCAGAUGUGCUCAAUUGGAUUCAGGUCUAGGGAAUGGGCGGGCCAGUCCAUAGCAUCAAUGCCUUCGUCUUGCAGGAACUGCUGACACACACCAGCCACAUGAGGUCUAGCAUUUUCUUGCAUUAGGAGGAACCCAGGGCCAACCGCACCAGCAAAUGGUCUCACAAGGGGUCUGAGGAUCUCAUCUCGGUACCUAAUGGCAGUCAGGCUACCUCUGGCGAGCACAUGGCCCCCCCAAAGAAAUGCCACCCCACACCACUACUGACCCACUGCCAAACCGGUCAUGCUGGAGGAUGUUGCAGGCAGAACAUUCUUCACGGCGUCUCCAGACUUGGUCACGUGCUCAGUGUGAAACUGCUUUCGUCUGUGAAGAGCACAGAGCGCCAG